GUUCUUGCUUCAGCAACGCAUAUGCUAAAAUUGGAACAAUACAGAGAAGAUUAGCACGGCCCCUGUGCAAGGAUCACAUGCAAAUUCGUGAAGAAUUCCAUAUAAAU
RNAcentral lists this small nuclear RNA (107 nucleotides) under Salvator merianae (Argentine black and white tegu). Lineage: Eukaryota; Metazoa; Chordata; Lepidosauria; Squamata; Teiidae. The record is from RNAcentral.